GUUGUAGCUCAGUGGUAGAGUGUAUGCUUAGCAUGCAUGAGGACCUGAGUUCAAACCCCAGCUUGAACA
Molecule: transfer RNA, 69 nt
Filed under: Dipodomys ordii (Ord's kangaroo rat)
Lineage: Eukaryota; Metazoa; Chordata; Mammalia; Rodentia; Heteromyidae
Rfam family: tRNA
About the family: Transfer RNA (tRNA) molecules are approximately 80 nucleotides in length.
Source: Rfam by way of RNAcentral